Molecule: ribosomal RNA, 484 nt
Filed under: uncultured bacterium
Lineage: Bacteria
Description: partial 16S ribosomal RNA
Rfam family: Bacterial small subunit ribosomal RNA
Source: RNAcentral
AUUGAACGCUGGCGGCAGGCCUAACACAUGCAAGUCGAGCGGAUGAAGGGAGCUUGCUCCUGGAUUCAGCGGCGGACGGGUGAGUAAUGCCUAGGAAUCUGCCUGGUAGUGGGGGAUAACGUCCGGAAACGGGCGCUAAUACCGCAUACGUCCUGAGGGAGAAAGUGGGGAAUCUUCGGACCUCACGCUAUCAGAUGAGCCUAGGUCGGAUUAGCUAGUUGGUGGGGUAAAGGCCUACCAAGGUGACGAUCCGUAACUGGUCUGAGAGGAUGAUCAGUCACACUGGAACUGAGACACGGUCCAGACUCCUACGGGAGGCAGCAGUGGGGAAUAUUGGACAAUGGGCGAAAGCCUGAUCCAGCCAUGCCGCGUGUGUGAAGAAGGUCUUCGGAUUGUAAAGCACUUUAAGUUGGGAGGAAGGGCAGUAAGUUAAUACCUUGCUGUUUUGACGUUACCAACAGAAUAAGCACCGGCUAACUUCGUG